AACGCUGGCGGCAGGCUAACACAUGCAAGUCGAACGGAUCCUUCGGGAUUAGUGGCGGACGGGUAGUAACACGUGGGAACGCUUGGUCGGAACAACUCAGGGAAACUUGAGCUAAUACCGGAUGUGCCCUUCGGGGGAAAGAUUUAUCGCCAUUGGAGCGGCCCGCGUCUGAUUAGCUAGUUGGUGGGGUAAAGGCCCACCAAGGCGACGAUCAGUAGCUGGUCUGAGAGGAUGAUCAGCCACAUUGGGACUGAGACACGGCCCAAACUCCUACGGGAGGCAGCAGUGGGGAAUCUUGCGCAAUGGGCGAAAGCCUGACGCAGCCAUGCCGCGUGAAUGAUGAAGGUCUUAGGAUUGUAAAAUUCUUUCACCGGGGACGAUAAUGACGGUACCCGGAGAAGAAGCCCCUUGGCUAACUUCGUGCCAGCUAGCCGCGGUAAUACGAAGGGGGCUAGCGUUGCUCGGAAUUACUGGGCGUAAAGGGAGCGUAGGCGGACUGUUAAGUUAGAGGUGAAAGCCCAGGA
This 524-nucleotide ribosomal RNA is filed under the name uncultured Caulobacter sp. RNAcentral's name for it is "bacterial SSU rRNA". It matches the Rfam family "Bacterial small subunit ribosomal RNA", at positions 32 to 607 of the family's 1533-position model. The record is from RNAcentral. Lineage: Bacteria; Pseudomonadati; Pseudomonadota; Alphaproteobacteria; Caulobacterales; Caulobacteraceae.